AGAGAGAUGGCGGAGUGGUCGAUCGCGGUGGUCUUGAAAACCAUUGACUGUAACAGGUCCGGGGGUUCGAAUCCCUCUCUCUCUGCCA
RNAcentral lists this transfer RNA (88 nucleotides) under Arsenicibacter rosenii. Its description in RNAcentral is "tRNA-Ser". It matches the Rfam family "tRNA". From Rfam's summary of the family: Transfer RNA (tRNA) molecules are approximately 80 nucleotides in length. The record is from RNAcentral. Lineage: Bacteria; Pseudomonadati; Bacteroidota; Cytophagia; Cytophagales; Spirosomataceae. RNAcentral also lists the same sequence under 1 other name.